CCUACGGGAGGCAGCAGUGGGGAAUAUUGCACAAUGGGGGGAACCCUGAUGCAGCAACGCCGCGUGGGUGAAGAAGUACUCCGGUAUGUAAAGCUCUGUCAGCAGGGAAGAAAAUGACGGUACCUGACCACGAAGCCCCGGCUAACUACGUGCCAGCAGCCGCGGUAAUACGUAGGGGGCAAGCGUUAUCCGGAUUUACUGGGUGGAAAGGGAGCGUAGACGGCAAGGCAAGUCUGGAGUGAAAGCCCGUGGCCCAACCACGGGACUGCUUUGGAAACUGUGUUGCUGGAGUGCAGGAGGGGUAGGCGGAAUUCCUAGUGUAGCGGUGAAAUGCGUAGAUAUUAGGAGGAACACCAGUGGCGAAGGCGGCUUGCUGGACUGUAACUGACGUUGAGGCGCGAAGGCGUGGGGAGCAAACAGGAUUAGAUACCCGUGUAGUC
RNAcentral lists this ribosomal RNA (440 nucleotides) under uncultured bacterium. Its description in RNAcentral is "partial 16S ribosomal RNA". It matches the Rfam family "Bacterial small subunit ribosomal RNA", at positions 338 to 795 of the family's 1533-position model. The record is from RNAcentral.